CCACCGAAUGCCUAAGGUUUCCUGAGGAAGGCUCGUCCGCUCAGGGUCAGUCGGGACCUAAGUCGAGGCCGAUAGGCGUAGACGAUGGACAACAGGUUGAUAUUCCUGUACCACCUCCCCGCCGUUUGAGCAAUGGGGGGACGCAGAAGGAUAAGGCGAGCGCGCCGUUGGUUGAGCGCGUCCAAGCAGCAAGGUGGGAAACGAGGCAAAUCCCGUUUCCAUAACAUUGAACUGUGACGGCAAGGGGCGUAUGCCCUGGAGUCCCUGAUUUCACACUGCCAAGAAAAGCCUCUAGCGAGGCGGGAGGUGCCCGUACCGCAAACCGACACAGGUAGGCGAGAAGAGAAUUCUAAGGUGAGCGAGUGAACUCUCGUUAAGGAACUCGGCAAAAUGACCCCGUAACUUCGGGAGAAGGGGUGCUCUGGUAGGGUGUUACAGCCCGAGAGAGCCGCAGUGAAUAGGCCCAGGCGACUGUUUAGCAAAAACACAGGUCUCUGCAAAACCGUAAGGUGACGUAUAGGGGCUGACGCCUGCCCGGUGCUGGAAGGUUAAGGGGAGUGCUUAGCGCAAGCGAAGGUGCGAACUGAAGCCCCAGUAAACGGCGGCCGUAACUAUAACGGUCCUAAGGUAGCGAAAUUCCUUGUCGGGUAAGUUCCGACCCGCACGAAAGGCGUAACGAUCUGGGCACUGUCUCAACGAGAGACUCGGUGAAAUUAUAGUACCUGUGAAGAUGCAGGUUACCCGCGACAGGACGGAAAGACCCCGUGGAGCUUUACUGCAGCCUGAUAUUGAAUUUUGGUGCAACUUGUACAGGAUAGGUAGGAGCCAGAGAACCCGGAGCGCCAGCUUCGGGGGAGGCGUCGGUGGGAUACUACCCUGGUUGUAUUGAAAUUCUAACCCACGCCCCUGAUCGGGGCGGGAGACAGUGUCAGGCGGGCAGUUUGACUGGGGCGGUCGCCUCCUAAAGAGUAACGGAGGCGCCCAAAGGUUCCCUCAGAAUGGUUGGAAAUCAUUCGCAGAGUGUAAAGGCACAAGGGAGCUUGACUGCGAGACGUACAGGUCGAGCAGGGUCGAAAGACGGGCUUAGUGAUCCGGUGGUUCCGCAUGGAAGGGCCAUCGCUCAACGGAUAAAAGCUACCCCGGGGAUAACAGGCUUAUCUCCCCCAAGAGUCCACAUCGACGGGGAGGUUUGGCACCUCGAUGUCGGCUCAUCGCAUCCUGGGGCUGUAGUCGGUCCCAAGGGUUGGGCUGUUCGCCCAUUAAAGCGGUACGCGAGCUGGGUUCAGAACGUCGUGAGACAGUUCGGUCCCUAUCCGUCGCGGGCGCAGGAAAUUUGAGAGGAGCUGUCCUUAGUACGAGAGGACCGGGAUGGACACACCGCUGGUGUACCAGUUGUUCCGCCAGGGGCAUCGCUGGGUAGCUAUGUGUGGCCGGGAUAAGUGCUGAAAGCAUCUAAGCACGAAGCCCCCCUCAAGAUGAGAUUUCCCAUUGCGCAAGCAAGUAAGAUCCCUCAAAGACGAUGAGGUAGAUAGGUUCGGGGUGGAAGCGUGGCGACACGUGCAGCUGACGAAUACUAAUCGAUCGAGGACUUAACCAA
Molecule: ribosomal RNA, 1597 nt
Filed under: Planococcus glaciei
Lineage: Bacteria; Bacillati; Bacillota; Bacilli; Caryophanales; Caryophanaceae
Description: bacterial LSU rRNA
Rfam family: Bacterial large subunit ribosomal RNA
Source: RNAcentral